This 325-nucleotide long non-coding RNA is filed under the name Homo sapiens (human). RNAcentral's name for it is "non-protein coding lnc-VPREB1-22:1". Lineage: Eukaryota; Metazoa; Chordata; Mammalia; Primates; Hominidae. The record is from RNAcentral.
CCCAGGCAGGGCAGACUCAGCAGCUCUCUGUAUCCAAGGGCUUGGGAUAGACAACCACACUCACCUGCACUGGGGACAGCAACAAUGUUGGCAAAGAUGGAGCUGUCUGGCCGCAGCAGCACCAGGGCCAUGCCCCCAAACACCUGAUCAACAGGAAAAACAGCCAACUCUCAGGGAUCUCAGAGAGAUUCCCUGGCUCCCGGUUAGGAACAUGGCAUCUCUGACCAUCUCUGGCCUCCAGACCAAGGACAAGCCUGCCUAUUACUGCUCAGCCUGGGACAGCAGCCUCAGUGCUCACACAGCGCCUCAGGGGAAGUGAGACGAA